This 72-nucleotide ribosomal RNA is filed under the name Bacteroidota bacterium. RNAcentral describes it as "Bacteroidetes bacterium (marine metagenome) partial 23S ribosomal RNA". The record is from RNAcentral. Lineage: Bacteria; Pseudomonadati; Bacteroidota.
CGUUGAUAGGCUGCAGGUGUAAAGCCAGUAAUGGCAAAGCCGAGCAGUACUAAUUACCCGUAAGCUUUCUUC